CGUUAGCGGCGGACGGGUGAGUAACACGUGGGUAACCUACCUAUAAGACUGGGAUAACUUCGGGAAACCGGAGCUAAUACCGGAUAAUAUUUCGAACCGCAUGGUUCGAUAGUGAAAGAUGGUUUUGCUAUCACUUAUAGAUGGACCCGCGCCGUAUUAGCUAGUUGGUAAGGUAACGGCUUACCAAGGCGACGAUACGUAGCCGACCUGAGAGGGUGAUCGGCCACACUGGAACUGAGACACGGUCCAGACUCCUACGGGAGGCAGCAGCCA
RNAcentral lists this ribosomal RNA (273 nucleotides) under uncultured Staphylococcus sp. RNAcentral's name for it is "partial 16S ribosomal RNA". It matches the Rfam family "Bacterial small subunit ribosomal RNA", at positions 90 to 355 of the family's 1533-position model. The record is from RNAcentral. Lineage: Bacteria; Bacillati; Bacillota; Bacilli; Caryophanales; Staphylococcaceae.